GGGCUCCCGAGUGUGGGGAGGGCGGCUCAGCAGGAGCUGCUGCUUCCCAGAAAGUUGAUUAUUUUUAACCCGGGAAGAAGAAAGGAAGGAGGCGAGGGAGAAGGACUCAGAGAAAAGAGGAGAGGAAAAGAGAGGAGAGGAGAGAAAUGGAGUCUCGCUUGUCACCAGGCUGGAGUACAGUGGCGUGAUCUCAGCUCACUGCAACCUCCGCCUCCCAGGUUCAAGCGAUUCUCCUGCCUCAGCCUCCCAAGUAGCUUGGAUUACAGAUGUGUGCCACCACGCCCUGUUAAUUUUUUUUUGUUUGUUUUGUUUUGUUUUUUGUUUUUUGUUUUUGAGAUGGAGUCUUGCUCUGUCGCCCAGGCUGGAGUGCAGUGGCCCUGAUCUCGGCUCACCGCAAGCUCCACCUCCCGGGUUCACGCCAUUCUCCUCCCUCAGCCUCCCAAGUAGCUGGGACUACAGGCGCCCACCACACCCAGCUAAUUUUUUAUAUAUUUUUUAGUAGAGACAGGGUUUCACUGUAUUAGCCAGGAUGGUCUCGAUCUCCUGACCUCGUGAUCCGCCUGCCUUGGCCUCCCAAAGUGCU
This 583-nucleotide long non-coding RNA is filed under the name Pongo abelii (Sumatran orangutan). RNAcentral's name for it is "lincRNA". The record is from RNAcentral. Lineage: Eukaryota; Metazoa; Chordata; Mammalia; Primates; Hominidae.